This 91-nucleotide transfer RNA is filed under the name Clostridia bacterium. RNAcentral describes it as "tRNA-OTHER". It matches the Rfam family "tRNA". Rfam says of the family: Transfer RNA (tRNA) molecules are approximately 80 nucleotides in length. Their secondary structure includes four short double-helical elements and three loops (D, anti-codon, and T loops). Lineage: Bacteria; Bacillati; Bacillota; Clostridia. The record is from RNAcentral.
GGGAACGUAGCGCAAUGGCAGCGCUGGUUGAGCGAACUCCGAAAGGACAGCAAGGACGUGGUUACGGGUUCAAGUCCCGUCGUUCCCACCA